This 499-nucleotide ribosomal RNA is filed under the name uncultured bacterium. RNAcentral's name for it is "partial 16S ribosomal RNA". It matches the Rfam family "Bacterial small subunit ribosomal RNA", at positions 899 to 1397 of the family's 1533-position model. The record is from RNAcentral.
ACUCAAAGGAAUUGACGGGGACCCGCACAAGCGGUGGAGCAUGUGGUUUAAUUCGAAGCAACGCGAAGAACCUUACCAGGUCUUGACAUGGCAAUGACCGGUCCGUAACGGGACCCUCCCUUCGGGGCAUUGCACACAGGUGGUGCAUGGUUGUCGUCAGCUCGUGUCGUGAGAUGUUGGGUUAAGUCCCGCAACGAGCGCAACCCUUAUCUUUAGUAGCCAGCACGUCAAGGUGGGAACUCUAGAGAGACUGCCGAGGAUAACUCGGAGGAAGGUGGGGAUGACGUCAAAUCAUCAUGCCCCUUAUGAUCUGGGCUACACACGUGCUACAAUGGCGAUAACAAAGGGAAGCCAAGGAGUGAUCCGGAGCAAACCCCAUAAAAGUCGUCCCAGUUCGGAUUGUAGUCUGCAACUCGACUACAUGAAGUUGGAAUCGCUAGUAAUCGCGAAUCAGAAUGUCGCGGUGAAUACGUUCCCGGGUCUUGCACACACCGCCCGU